GUUGAGUUAUGUAACAAUGACUUGUGACCUAAGUUGGGGCAAUAAGGUGAUGGAAGAAGCAAUAUUGGUGUAAGAAGAAUAUAAUGCCUUAUUUAAUUUUUCUUCUCCUUA
This 111-nucleotide non-coding RNA is filed under the name Phaseolus vulgaris (common bean). Lineage: Eukaryota; Viridiplantae; Streptophyta; Magnoliopsida; Fabales; Fabaceae. The record is from RNAcentral.